RNAcentral lists this ribosomal RNA (720 nucleotides) under Triticum aestivum (bread wheat). RNAcentral describes it as "partial small subunit ribosomal RNA". Lineage: Eukaryota; Viridiplantae; Streptophyta; Magnoliopsida; Poales; Poaceae. The record is from RNAcentral.
CUUGCCUUGUGUCAGCGAUCUGGGGGCUCCCAGUUCUGGCAAUGCAUCAUUCAGCUCCUCCUUGUCCUCCGGAUCGGAACCUCGAUCGAGAUUGGUUUUGGCACAACCACGCUGUUCUGGUUCGAUCGCUGGACUGGUGACACGCCCCUGGCGGCCCGCUUCCCGGACCUGUUCUGCCUCGCGGUUUCCCCUCAGAUCUUCGUGGCGACCGCCCUUAUUGACUUAGGGCGGCUUGCGUUCCGGAGGCCUUUUGGUCUUGUUGAGAAUGAGGACUGGCAGGAGUUGCUUGACUGUGUUGCUCUCCAUGAGCCGGAGCUCACGUCUGACAAUGACCGCGCCAGGUGGCGCCUCGAGCCGUCCGGUUAAUUCUCCACCAAAUCUCUCUAUCUGGCCAUCGCCCCCUCGCUCGGCCAUGAGGCUCCUUCCUCCAUUUGGGAGAUUUGCCUCCCCUUGAAAAUUAGGAUCUUCCUAUGGCAAUGGAUUCGUGGCCACCUCCCUUCUGGCAUUGAGGUUCCGAAGUGCAAUGGCCCUGGUGAUGGGCGUUGCCCGCUCUAUGGGCAUGAAGAAGAUUCGAACCAUAUCUUCUUCACCUGCGUGUCUGCGCAGUUCCUAUGGAGCUGUUUCUGCGAGAUUGUGGGUGGAAGUUGGGACCAUACUAACUUCCCCGCUCUCUUUGCCAAACUCCAGGAGACCCCCCCCACCCGCGUUGCGCCACAUUAG